UACGUAGGGUGCAGGCGUUAAUCGGAAUUACUGGGCGUAAAGCGUGUGCAGGCGGGUGGACAAGUGGUGUAUGAAAUCGCCAGGCUAAACCUGGCGGGGUUAUGCCAGACUGUCCGUCUGGAGUGCGAGAGAGGGGCGUGGAAUUCCGGGUGUAGUGGUGAAAUGCGUAGAGAUCCGGAGGAACCCCAGAGGCGAAGGCGGCGCCCUGGCUCGCAACUGACGCUCAGACACGACAGCAUGGGGAGCGAACGGG
This 253-nucleotide ribosomal RNA is filed under the name uncultured bacterium. RNAcentral describes it as "partial 16S ribosomal RNA". It matches the Rfam family "Bacterial small subunit ribosomal RNA", at positions 524 to 776 of the family's 1533-position model. The record is from RNAcentral.